This 1015-nucleotide ribosomal RNA is filed under the name Protodrilus oculifer. Its description in RNAcentral is "eukaryotic LSU rRNA". It matches the Rfam family "Eukaryotic large subunit ribosomal RNA", at positions 77 to 908 of the family's 3401-position model. The record is from RNAcentral. Lineage: Eukaryota; Metazoa; Annelida; Polychaeta; Protodrilidae.
CCCCCAGUAACGGCGAGUGAAGUGGGAAGAGCCCAGCGUCGAACCCGCGAGUUUUGCUCGUCGGGCAUGUGACGUGUGGAUCCUAUCACGCAUGACGAGUCGGCGGCCGCACGUCCUAAUGAUUCAGGCUUUUCCCAUAGAGGGUGUCAGGCCCGUAUCUGGUCGUUCGUCUCGGGUGCAGAUAGGUAUCUUAGAGUCGGGUUGUUUGGGAAUGCAGCCCAAAGCGGGAGGUAAACUUCUCCUGAGGCUAAAUACCAUGGCGAGACCGAUAGCGAACAAGUACCGUGAGGGAAAGUUGAAAAGCACUCUGAAGAGAGAGUUCAAUAGUACGUGAAACUGUUGAGAGGUAAACGGUGAAGGCGUCUCUUCUUUCCUUUCAGAUUCAGUCGCGUUCCUUUCGUCUGGUGGGAGUGGUCGACCUGUUUUAGGCGGCUACCUUGCCGGUGCGGUUGGAAAACGGUGCACUUCUGUUUGGGAUGAGUUACGGCCGAUUAGUCGGGAGCGAGGUGCCUCUCUGGUUGGAGGUUCAACCUUCGGGUAGAGCCAAUACCAGGGAACGCAUGGCCUCUUGGCCGAUUGAAGAAGUGGAACGACAGCUACAGGCGGCUCGUGCUCCUUUCUCUUUUUCUCGAGGUGGGCUACCUCUUCCGAGAAGUGGUUUGCCGUACGGAAUUUGAGUGGGGAUCGCUCGUUCGUCGUUCCCAGCCGGUAGCGUGGGUGCUCUUUACCGACCCGUCUUGAAACACGGACCAAGGAGUCUAACAUGUGUGCGAGUCUUGAGGGUGUCAAACCCGCAGGCGCAAUGAAGGUGAAGGUGGCUUCGGUCUCUGAGGCGUGAUGGGUGUCUUCGGACGCUCCGCACCGCCGUCCCGUCCAAAACAUCCUCGUAUGUUGGGCGGAGAAUGAGCAUACACGUUGGGACCCGAAAGAUGGUGAACUAUGCCUGAACAGGAUGAAGCCAGGGGAAACUCUGGUGGAGGUCCGUAGCGAUUCUGACGUGCAAAUCGAUCGUCGA